AUUGAACGCUGGCGGCAGGCCUAACACAUGCAAGUCGAGCGGUAGCACAGAGAGCUUGCUCUCGGGUGACGAGCGGCGGACGGGUGAGUAAUGUCUGGGAAACUGCCUGAUGGAGGGGGAUAACUACUGGAAACGGUAGCUAAUACCGCAUAANGUCGCAAGACCAAAGUGGGGGACCUUCGGGCCUCAUGCCAUCAGAUGUGCCCAGAUGGGAUUAGCUAGUAGGUGGGGUAACGGCUCACCUAGGCGACGAUCCCUAGCUGGUCUGAGAGGAUGACCAGCCACACUGGAACUGAGACACGGUCCAGACUCCUACGGGAGGCAGCAGUGGGGAAUAUUGCACAAUGGGCGCAAGCCUGAUGCAGCCAUGCCGCGUGUGUGAAGAAGGCCUUCGGGUUGUAAAGCACUUUCAGCGGGGAGGAAGGCGNUNAGGUUAAUAACCUNNNCGAUUGACGUUACCCGCAGAAGAAGCACCGGCUAACUCCGUGCCAGCAGCCGCGGUAAUACGGAGGGUGCAAGCGUUAAUCGGAAUUACUGGGCGUAAAGCGCACGCAGGCGGUCUGUCAAGUCGGAUGUGAAAUCCCCGGGCUCAACCUGGGAACUGCAUUCGAAACUGGCAGGCUAGAGUCUUGUAGAGGGGGGUAGAAUUCCAGGUGUAGCGGUGAAAUGCGUAGAGAUCUGGAGGAAUACCGGUGGCGAAGGCGGCCCCCUGGACAAAGACUGACGCUCAGGUGCGAAAGCGUGGGGAGCAAACAGGAUUAGAUACCCUGGUAGUCCACGCCGUAAACGAUGUCGAUUUGGAGGUUGUGCCCUUGAGGCGUGGCUUCCGGAGCUAACGCGUUAAAUCGACCGCCUGGGGAGUACGGCCGCAAGGUUAAAACUCAAAUGAAUUGACGGGGGCCCGCACAAGCGGUGGAGCAUGUGGUUUAAUUCGAUGCAACGCGAAGAACCUUACCUGGUCUUGACAUCCACAGAACUUUCCAGAGAUGGAUUGGUGCCUUCGGGAACUGUGAGACAGGUGCUGCAUGGCUGUCGUCAGCUCGUGUUGUGAAAUGUUGGGUUAAGUCCCGCAACGAGCGCAACCCUUAUCCUUUGUUGCCAGCGGUUNGGCCGGGAACUCAAAGGAGACUGCCAGUGAUAAACUGGAGGAAGGUGGGGAUGACGUCAAGUCAUCAUGGCCCUUACGACCAGGGCUACACACGUGCUACAAUGGCAUAUACAAAGAGAAGCGACCUCGCGAGAGCAAGCGGACCUCAUAAAGUAUGUCGUAGUCCGGAUUGGAGUCUGCAACUCGACUCCAUGAAGUCGGAAUCGCUAGUAAUCGUAGAUCAGAAUGCUACGGUGAAUACGUUCCCGGGCCUUGUACACACCGCCCGUCACACCAUGGGAGUGGGUUGCAAAAGAAGUAGGUAGCUUAACCUUCGGGAGGGCGCUUACCACUUUGUGAUUCAUGACUGGGGUGAAG
This 1465-nucleotide ribosomal RNA is filed under the name Klebsiella pneumoniae. RNAcentral describes it as "16S ribosomal RNA". It matches the Rfam family "Bacterial small subunit ribosomal RNA". The record is from RNAcentral. Lineage: Bacteria; Pseudomonadati; Pseudomonadota; Gammaproteobacteria; Enterobacterales; Enterobacteriaceae.